AACUUUAUUCCGGAGUUCAUAAAUCUGAGCGUCAUGACCCAUAUGUGAAUAUGUAAGAGAUGCAGCAUUUCAUAUUUUUUCGACAGUGUUAAGCAACAGAUAUGUUCUCGCAAUAUGGGGUUGCAUAGAAUUUAUGAGUCAUGACAUUACUAAUGAGAUCUCAGAGUCCUAUCUAUUAUAUUCUAAAUUACGAACUUCUGAUUUUUUCAUCUCACCAGUAAUGUAACCAUGCAAUCCUCUAAAUUUGAUGAACAAUAAAUAAGAUCUCGACCAAAUAAAAUAAUUAGUUUCAUCAAGUUUUACGGGACUGAUUUGUAAUGAAAGAUUAUCAAAGCUAAUAAUACUCACAUUUUUUGCUUCUGUCAUUUUAGAAUGCUAAAAAUAAGAAGAAAAAAUACCCAAUAAUGAAAACUGAACUUCAUAUCUGCACAAAGGAGCCA
RNAcentral lists this long non-coding RNA (440 nucleotides) under Carica papaya (papaya). RNAcentral's name for it is "long non-coding RNA (CPAP_LNC001052)". Lineage: Eukaryota; Viridiplantae; Streptophyta; Magnoliopsida; Brassicales; Caricaceae. The record is from RNAcentral.